RNAcentral lists this ribosomal RNA (253 nucleotides) under uncultured bacterium. RNAcentral describes it as "partial 16S ribosomal RNA". It matches the Rfam family "Bacterial small subunit ribosomal RNA", at positions 524 to 776 of the family's 1533-position model. The record is from RNAcentral.
UACGGAGGGGACUAGCGUUGUUCGGAAUUACUGGGCGUAAAGCGCACGUAGGCGGAUUGUUAAGUCAGGGGUGAAAUCCCGAGGCUCAACCUCGGAACUGCCUUUGAUACUGGCAAUCUCGAGUCCGGAAGAGGUGAGUGGAAUUCCCAGUGUAGAGGUGAAAUUCGUAGAUAUUGGGAAGAACACCAGUGGCGAAGGCGGCUCACUGGCCCGUAACUGACGCUGAGGUGCGAAAGCGUGGGGAGCAAACAGG